This 497-nucleotide ribosomal RNA is filed under the name uncultured bacterium. RNAcentral's name for it is "partial 16S ribosomal RNA". It matches the Rfam family "Bacterial small subunit ribosomal RNA", at positions 28 to 507 of the family's 1533-position model. The record is from RNAcentral.
GAUGAACGCUGGCGGCGUGCCUAAUACAUGCAAGUCGAGCGAACGGACGAGAAGCUUGCUUCUCUGAUGUUAGCGGCGGACGGGUGAGUAACACGGGGAUAACCUACCUAUAAGACUGGGAUAACUUCGGGAAACCGGAGCUAAUACCGGAUAAUAUUUUGAACCGCAUGGUUCAAAAGUGAAAUACGGUCAUGCUGUCACUUAUAGAUGGAUCCGCGCUGCAUUAGCUAGUUGGUAAGGUAACGGCUUACCAAGGCAACGAUGCAUAGCCGACCUGAGAGGGUGAUCGGCCACACUGGAACUGAGACACGGUCCAGACUCCUACGGGAGGCAGCAGUAGGGAAUCUUCCGCAAUGGGCGAAAGCCUGACGGAGCAACGCCGCGUGAGUGAUGAAGGUCUUCGGAUCGUAAAACUCUGUUAUUAGGGAAGAACAUAUGUGUAAGUAACUGUGCACAUCUUGACGGUACCUAAUCAGAAAGCCACGGCUAACUACGUG